Long non-coding RNA from Sebastes umbrosus (honeycomb rockfish), 1108 nucleotides. RefSeq lists it as uncharacterized. The record is from RefSeq and is a predicted model, not a curated record. Lineage: Eukaryota; Metazoa; Chordata; Actinopteri; Perciformes; Sebastidae. The transcript has 4 exons.
CCAGCGACCACAUGCUCCAGCAGCUUCACACUCCUCACUGACGCACUCUCCUCCUCCAGCGAUACAGUACAGUGGCAAAUGGGGUCAAACCUUCCUGUCAAGUGUGUGCAUGUAUGCUGUGAUGAGGGGAAGGGGAAGCUCUGCCCUCAAGCGCGGCAGUGUUUGUCUACCGUUUGUGACGUCGCUGAGCUCCGAGCAACUCAGCCCAAACUUAACAUUGGCCACACAGAGAAGGCAUCGGUAGAUGGAGGUUUCCACUCUGAAUGAGCUCAACCUCUGGGAGGAGGCUGGUAAAUAAAGAUGCAAAUUAAAGCAGAAAUAUCCAUUUAGCUUCCGUCCUCCAUACACUUCAGCUACAUUCAUUCAUGAGCCAAUGUUAAGGAGCCCAGUGUGAAAUCCACUUCUGACCUCAAAAGUGCAGAAAAUGUUCUAAGUCUGAGCUCCAACUGGAGGAAGUAAAUAAGUCAGCAUGAUGGCUUGGCACAGAAGCUGCUCCCACCUCACACAGCAGUGUUGUCAUCAUACACAAUCGUUUUGUUGUCAAACAUGAACAAUUAAAACGAUUCGGCAUUGUGAAAGACAAUGACGUUUUGUAAUAUUUACUCAAAGCAAAAUAUUCGUGUGUGUGUGUGUGAUGUCAGAACGGGAAGUAGAUUGUUGGAAAUGUGUUGAGUUAUCUCUAUCACACCAUGCUGUGUUAUGCUUGUGAUAUUCUACAACCACAAUAAACUUGAUUUUCUUGUAUUGCGGAAGUGAUGACCGAAGAGUUAUUGCUUCAUAAAUUGUACAUUGUAUGUUGUAUAAAGACCAAUUCUUCAUGAUUCAAAUAAUCAGGAUGUGUUGACUAGCUGCUUAGAAAAACGUGUGUUUGGAUUCAGUCAAAGACUUCAACUAACUUGAAUGAGAGAUGACACAUUUCCUUGUAACACAAUACAUAUCGAACCAACUAAAUGAUUGCUGAUUUUUGUUAUUAUAGGGCAGCAGAUAUACAGUAUUAAAGCUAGAUAGAUUUGUGUUUAUGACACCCACGGCUUGACACCCACAGCUACUAUCAUUAUUAUUAUUACCCAUAUUUCUAUUAUUAUUACUGUUACUAUCACUACUAUUA